UUUUGGAGGGGGUCAUCUAAAAAUACAUAUUUUAAAUAAUUUGUGGUAAAUAUCUUCCUACAUAUUUGAAAUGAGCAUAUAGGAAGGAAACUUGUUAAAAUACCUCUACAAAAUAUUUGGAGAACCAAAGGAGGUUAAAGAACAAUUAAACUGGCAGAUGUCAUAAUUAAUCUGAACUGGAAUAUCAGAAUUUAAAAUCACACACUCACUUGAAGUUGAGAGAGAGACUCUUUCUUUCUGUGGUUGGGUCCUGGGUGGUCGGUAAAACCUGAGAGAUGUAGUCAAAAAUAUAGAAACUGAUUAAAAUAAGCUUAAAACUUUUACUCUUUUGCCUGUAUUGUUUAAAUUUAGAGCAUUAUUUCAAACUAAUUCUCUCAAAAGAGUAUGAAAAAGGGUGUUAACAGUUUUAGAAAUAGUUUAUUAACACUUAUUUAUUGUUCUAUCAACAGGACUGGUAUAAAAACGGGCUGUCCAGAGUGGGGUUAUCCAAGCUACAGACUUGCUGAUUGAGAUACAUAAAAUUGUACUAUAGAUAUAAGGGCUCCAUCUAGUGGCAACUCUUCAGAAUUGCAUACGUAUUCCUACAAAG
This 589-nucleotide long non-coding RNA is filed under the name Bos taurus (domestic cattle). RNAcentral's name for it is "long non-coding RNA NONBTAT018656". The record is from RNAcentral. Lineage: Eukaryota; Metazoa; Chordata; Mammalia; Artiodactyla; Bovidae.